GCAAGUCGAGCGGACAGAUGGGAGCUUGCUCCCUGAUGUUAGCGGCGGACGGGUGAGUAACACGUGGGUAACCUGCCUGUAAGACUGGGAUAACUCCGGGAAACCGGGGCUAAUACCGGAUGCUUGAUUGAACCGCAUGGUUCAAUUAUAAAAGGUGGCUUUUAGCUACCACUUACAAAUGGACCCGCGGCGCAUUAGCUAGUUGGUGAGGUAACGGCUCACCAAGGCAACGAUGCGUAGCCAACCUGAAAGGGUGAUCGGCCACACUGGGACUGAGACACGGCCCAAACUCCUACGGGAGGCAGCAUUAGGGAAUCUUCCGCAAUGGACGAAAGUCUGACGGAGCAACGCCGCGAGAGUGAUGAAGGUUUUCGGAUCGUAAAACUCUGUUGUUAGGGAAGAACAAGUACCGUUCGAAUAGGGCGGUACCUUGACGGUACCUAACCAGAAAGCCACGGCUAACUACGUGCCAGCAGCCGCGGUAAUACGUAGGUGGCAAGCGUUGUCCGGAAUUAUGGGGCGUAAAGCGCGCGCAGGCGGUUUCUUAAUUCUGAUGUGAAAGCCCCCGGCUCAACCGGGGAGGGUCAUUGGAAACUGGGGAACUUGAGUGCAAAAAA
This 617-nucleotide ribosomal RNA is filed under the name Bacillus sp. (in: firmicutes). RNAcentral describes it as "bacterial SSU rRNA". It matches the Rfam family "Bacterial small subunit ribosomal RNA", at positions 57 to 655 of the family's 1533-position model. The record is from RNAcentral. Lineage: Bacteria; Bacillati; Bacillota; Bacilli; Caryophanales; Bacillaceae.